GACGAACGCUGGCGGCGUGCUUAACACAUGCAAGUCGAACGGAAAGGCCCCUUUGGGGGUACUCGAGUGGCGAACGGGUGAGUAACACGUGAGUAACCUGCCCUUUACUUCGGGAUAACUUCAGGAAACUGGGGCUAAUACCGGAUAGGAAUCCUUGCUGCAUGGUGGGGGUUGGAAAGCUUCGGCGGUUUUGGAUGGACUCGCGGCGUAUCAGCUUGUUGGUGGGGUAGUGGCUUACCAAGGCAUUGACGGGUAGCCGGCCUGAGAGGGCGACCGGCCACAUUGGGACUGAGAUACGGCCCAGACUCCUACGGGAGGCAGCAGUGGGGAAUAUUGCACAAUGGGCGGAAGCCUGAUGCAGCAACGCCGCGUGCGGGAUGACGGCCUUCGGGUUGUAAACCGCUUUCAGCAGGGGCGAAGCUUGUGGUGACGGUACCUGCAGAAGAAGCACCGGCUAACUACGUG
RNAcentral lists this ribosomal RNA (465 nucleotides) under uncultured bacterium. RNAcentral describes it as "partial 16S ribosomal RNA". It matches the Rfam family "Bacterial small subunit ribosomal RNA", at positions 28 to 507 of the family's 1533-position model. The record is from RNAcentral.